UCAAGAAUAUUCCUCAAUGGCCGAAAGGCUGAAGGAGCGACGCCGCGUGUAGGAUGAAGGUCUUCGGAUCGUAAACUACUUUUAUAGGGGACGAAUUCGUGACGGUACCCUAAGAAUAAGAGGUUGCUAACUCUGUGCCAGCAGCAGCGGUAAUACAGAGACCUCAAGCGUUAUCCGGAUUUAUUGGGCGUAAAGCGUCCGCAGGUGGCUUAGCGGGUUAGGGGUUAAAACCAAUCGCUUAACGAUUGGACUGCUUCUAAAACUACUAAGCUAGAGAGUGGGAGAGGUAAGCGGAAUUCUCGGUGUAGUCGUAAUAAGCGUUGAUAUCGAGAAGAACACCAAAUGCGAAGGCAGCUUACUGGAACACUUCUGACACUAAGGGACGAAAGCGUGGGGAGCAAACAGG
RNAcentral lists this ribosomal RNA (406 nucleotides) under uncultured bacterium. RNAcentral's name for it is "bacterial SSU rRNA". It matches the Rfam family "Bacterial small subunit ribosomal RNA", at positions 355 to 776 of the family's 1533-position model. The record is from RNAcentral.